AACGCACCUUGCGCUCCUUGGUAUUCCGAGGAGCAUGCCUGUUUGAGUGUCAUUAAAUUCUCAACCUCACCGGUUUUCUGAACCGUUCUCCGAGGCUUGGAUGUGGGGGUUUGUGCAGGUCGCCUCAGCGCGGUCUGCUCCCCUGAAAUGCAUUAGCGAGAUUCAUUCUGGACCUCCGUCUAUCGGUGUGAUAAUUAUCUACGUCGUUGACUUGGUUCGGACUCGCUUCUAACCGUCCGCGAGGACAACAUUACUUGACAAUUUGACCUCAAAUCAGGUAGGACUACCCGCUGAACUUAA
Molecule: unclassified non-coding RNA, 300 nt
Filed under: uncultured fungus
Lineage: Eukaryota; Fungi
Description: sequence contains ITS2
Rfam family: 5.8S ribosomal RNA (bases 1-52)
Source: RNAcentral